AGUCUUUCUGUUAAGGACAUUCUUUUAAAUGUAAGUUGCAUAUCUAAUUUUUCGUUAAUUUCAUUUCAACUUUAUAUCUAAUUUCUGUAAUGUAACUUUUACAUUUGAAUAUAUAAUUUUUUGUUUUUUCGUUUCCAUUGUAUUUAGAUUUGAAGUUUGCCCCUUUCUGAUAAAAAAGGAACUGCAGAGUUGAAUUUGAGAGAGGUUGUUUUGGCAUGAUUGUUGGUUCCAAUUACUCACUGUUUUGCUGGAUUUCUCAGAAAUACCUUAACCUUUAUUUAUGAAAAAAUUGCCAUUUAUAAGAGUAAUUCACUAUUUGGUAAAAACAAUGAGGUUCCUACUUUAUACAUGUAUUAAGC
Molecule: long non-coding RNA, 359 nt
Filed under: Phaseolus vulgaris (common bean)
Lineage: Eukaryota; Viridiplantae; Streptophyta; Magnoliopsida; Fabales; Fabaceae
Description: long non-coding RNA (PVUL_LNC000770)
Source: RNAcentral